This 4108-nucleotide unclassified non-coding RNA is filed under the name Penaeus monodon (black tiger shrimp). RNAcentral's name for it is "uncharacterized LOC119572215, transcript variant X2". Lineage: Eukaryota; Metazoa; Arthropoda; Malacostraca; Decapoda; Penaeidae. The record is from RNAcentral.
GGGAUGUGAACGCGGUGCUUCUCACGUGUUACCGGAGGGCGUCGCCGAAGUCUCACUACAGACUAGUGUGGGUGAAAGCAUGACCUGCAGGAGGUGCUGCAGGAGGAGGAGGGAUGACUGUGUUACAUGGUGUUCAGGGGCACCAGGUGGAGGUGGAGGAUGCAGGUGAACAGGUGGAAGGGAGCGCGCACGUGACGUACUGCCUGACGCCAGCGGAGGGGGCGGGGCCAUCGUCUGGCAGGGUGGAGCCAGAGCCGGAGGAGCGAGAGCGUGCCCCGUCUACCUCCGUCGUUGCACACUGCUGUAACGCCGUUGCCAUCUGGUGCGAUGCCCCUACGACCGCCGCCUACGCGCUCAUAGGCCUAUCGCGAUGCUGGUGGCAGUAUACGGUGACGUCAUCCUCAGCGGGAGACAACAUGGGUGACGCAAUGCAAGAAGGCGUGGCGGCUGAGAUAAAGGGCGGGGCCAAACCUGGGGUUACCGAGGUCGGUUGGCCUCUACCAUGCAGUCUGUCCUCUCUUCUCGCCAUGAACUGCCGGGCCCGGGCGGAGGGCCUCGCUCGCCGCCUGCAAACAAGCCUUCGCGUGGGGUCAGGAGGCUCGGUGGCCCUCGAGCAGACGUCCUUGGUGACGCCGGGCCCGGAGGACCACUAUGCGUCCAUGGAGUGCCGCCAUGCCUCGCUGGACGACCCCCAGUUGGACCCGGUGGACGACCCGAACCUCCGCCCCAUUCACGUGGUGACGUCAGAGCCCUCCCUACGUCUCUGCCUCCCGUCCCCGCCCGCAUUGCCCAACGUGGCUGAGCAGGACUCGGACGUCUAUUAUGACUUCGACCUUGCCAGCCCGGAAGACGCACCUGAGGAUGAGGAAAAGGAAUGCGAUAACGUGAUAAAAAGAUACGAGAGACCCGAGAGCGGAUGCGCAACUUCUGUCACUUCGCCUGUUAUGUUUGACGACGAGUGCGAGGACGAGGGCGAAGAGAAGCGAAAGGAUCAAGAGGAACACACUCGCUCGCCGGAGGCCAACAUGUGCACCUCGGAGGCCGAACUCCGCGUCAUGAGGCAAAUACUGACGUCCGCCUCCCUGACGGACGUCCUCUCGCCGACGGACAGGAUGGCAGAGACAGAUGCCAAAGCCAUGUGUGAUGAUUCCAGCAGAUACCAAAGUGCAAACGGCACAGAAAAGUGCGUGUGUGGGGCAUGCCGCUUCGAUGACGAGCGCGAGUGUGGGUGUUCCUCGGGGCACCUGGAGACCCAUUACAUUGUAACUCACACGUGGGGAGAGCCAGAAGAAUCGUGUGCAGAUGAGAUCCCAGAGGGCGCUGCUAUGCCUGGAGACAGUUACGUCUCGCUAUCAAUGCAAGGAACAUCGCCAGUAGCCAACACAGACCCACGUUGGUGCCACCCCGGGUCGGGCACUCUGCCGGCAGUGCCAUAUCCACCAGCUGAUCAACGCGCGGUGGACAAAACAAACAUAGGCAGUGGCGACAGUGAUGGUGCUGGAUGGGACAGAUAUGAUGCAAGGAGUGAUAUGUAUAGACACAGUGAUGCGGUAAUGAUCAAGGAUAAGGGAUGGGACAAAGGCAAGAGAGAUCAGGGCAAAGAUGUGUUGGGCGACGGGGAAGGGAACACCGUGUACUUUGCGGAGGUUACAGUGACACAGUUCAGUGGUGAAGGUGGAACCGUGUGCAGUGAUGGUGAUCUAGAACACAAAGCAGAUACUGACACUGAAGGGAAAAUAAUCCUGCAAACCGCCUCAGAAACUGCCAGUGUCCCCCAGGCUAUUUCUGGCACGACACCCCCGCUCGCCGACCCUCACCUCUACACGCCCUCUGAAGGACAGCCCGCCGUCAUGGAGUCACGAGGGGAAGCUGAGGGGAGAGACGAGUUGUUUUGUAUGGACGCUGACACGGAAGAGAUUGAGACUCUCGGGGAAGAUGAGGAGAGCGACGACGAAGAGAAUGAGGAGGACAUUGACGAGGAGGUGAUUCUCACGGGAAAGUUCCGCAACAUCCGCGGGUACACGGAACGCGUCCGACGGCUGUCAGACGACAUCGAGGACAGAAUCUCCCCCACGAGCAUCACCUACGAAGACAGCUGCUUCUGCGAGUCGCCCAAGUCCAGCAAGUCCUCGACCGCCUCGUCCGAGGUGAACGAUGGCGGCGAGGAGCUGGCCGCGCAGCUGUCACAACUUGAGGUGGAAGAUGUGGACGAUGGAGUGGGCGACGAAGAGGUGGAAGAGGAUGCCCUAGCAGGCGAGCGCUCCUCCUCGGAGGAAACGGACCCAGCUCGAGUAGAAGAUUUCAAGCUGCGGAUCAAGCGGUCCUCCUCCCUGAAGUGCGGCAAGACGCCCCCGGGCACACCUGGACGCAAGAAAAUCGUGCGCUUCGCGGACAUGCUGGGCCUUGAUUUAGCUGCCGUCAGGACUUUCCUUGCGGGCGUCCCGCACGUUCCGCGCUCCGCCUUUUGGGAUCUCGAGCUGGAGCGCGAGGCGGCGGAGGCGGCCAAGUCUUCCUUCGCGCAGAACAUCGUGCCCUCGCGCGUCCUCACGCCCCUGUUUCAGCAGCCGGGCUCACAGGCCGACUUCCUGGAGCGCGUGCGGCAGCAGCGGGUGGUCGUGGAGAACAUCGAAGUGGGCGACGACCUGAGCGUGCGGGGGGUGGUGCGCGUGCUCAGCCUCGAUUUCCACAAGAGCGUCUUCGUCAGGUACACCUUCGACCAGUGGCGCAAUUACCACGAGGCGACAGCCGCCUACGUCCCCGGCUCCUACGACGGCCUCACCGACCGCUUCUCCUUCCUGCUGUGGGGCAACUUCCUGCAAGACGACGGGGCUCUCAUUUUCUGCGUCCGCUACCACACACUCGGCCAAGAGUUCUGGGACAACAACCGCGGCCGGGAUUACGUGCUGCAGUGCUACAAGACGUCGGGGACGUCAGGAGUGCCAGGCAUGAUCGGCUCCAGCGUCCCUCAGAAUGUCAGCAGCGUCGAGGCGCACUACAGCGGCGGCAGGAACUUCAGCUCGAGGCCCACCAACUUUAGUGACGUUUACGGCACUUCUCCAACCACUCCGAGCGAUCCUUGGGCAUCCAGGUUCUUCUAGGAAGUCACACGGUGCUUCCGAAUGGUUAUUCCACCUGAAUCCUAAGCCCAGCUGACUGCACCAAGGGGAUAGCCGGGCAUUCAUUCACAAAAUGUAAAUGAACGCCAGGGAAAGUGAGACAACAUUCAGCAGGUGUCAUGGGAGUGCCUAUGUCUGGCUUAGACCAGGUUUUCGGGUCCUCGAGGUCGGCGGCUUUCGCAUUUUUUCGGAUGCGGACCGACCUGUCUACUUUCAGUCGUUCCUGUGAUCAAAAGAAAUGAUGUGCUGACUGCAAAGGGACAGAAGGCCCGCCCAGUCACCCCAUUGCUCCUCGGGGCCCGCUCACAAACCUGCCUCUGCCAGAGAUUUUCACCGGCACUACAUCGUCACUUCACCACACAGUCACGUCACCACCACACGCGACCCACCACGGAAUCAUGACUUCACCGCAAACGAACUCAGCACCACAAGUCAGGCUGACUGCUGAACAUAAUACGCUUCACAGAUCGCUCGCGUUGCACACGAACUCCCUCCUCAAAGCAAAUCCUUUACGUUAUGCUACUGAGGCGCCGCGGUCUCCGACGCCGCCCCUCUCCCCGCCGGCGGUGCGUUGCCUCCCGCGGCCUCCUGCUGCUGGCUCCUCCACCUCGGCCUUCUUCGUGACUUCGCCAUGCUGUCAGGGGCGUAGGCUGCUCCCGAGACAAGAUAUGCAUAUAUGUAAAUACAAUAGAGGGAGCAGUCUUGCUGGUACUACAGGAUUGUUAGUUAGGCAACGGCUAAGGGUUGGUGUUGAUACGUCUGCAUGAUGUUUAUAUUUAUUUAUUAUUAUUAUCAUUUUUUUCAAAACAGAUAGUCAAUUAAGAUAAUGAACAUGUUUUGGAAUAUAAUUUAAGAGUAAUGUCUUACAUGGGUUACAUUUCAUUCACUAACACACAUGCUCACACACACACACACACACACACACACACACACACACACACACACACACACACACACACACACACACACACACACACACACACACACACACA